Molecule: long non-coding RNA, 2591 nt
Organism: Zeugodacus cucurbitae (melon fly)
Lineage: Eukaryota; Metazoa; Arthropoda; Insecta; Diptera; Tephritidae
Exons: 3
Source: RefSeq, a predicted model, not a curated record
UAGUUUUUUCAAAAAAAAAAAAAAAAGACAAGACCAAAUUCGACAGUUUCCCCCUAUUUCGGGUCUUACGAAUCGAACUGCAUCAUUACUUUUUUGAGUUACAAUCAUGGUUUCAUACAAAAUUUGUUUUUGAAGUUUUUCAUCAAAGUGGCCCAUUGUAAGAGAAAGGCACAUUUUUCUUCGGUCUCUAACUUUUUUAAUGUUGACUUUUUUGGUAAACUUUCUUCGGCAAAGCUUCUCAGAAUAAGCCCGUCUUUAAGUUCUUAGAUGACUGUAAACCCCAAAAUCAAUGUUUUUUGUGUCCUUAUAGCCAAUAUGUCGAAAAAACUGAAAUUUAAUCCAUUUUUUUAAUGUUUUUUCCCUCACGUUUCGUCAAUAUUUUAAUUUACCCUUUGAUACUUAUUCAUUAAGCAAAGACAACGUUCUGAGCAAACUAACCAUUAGAAAAAAAACUUAACAAAGUUUGUAUUUUUUUAAAAAGGCUACACUAACUAUGUUUGUGUGCUAUUUUAUUUUUACAUUAAAAACAAGUAAGGAAGGGCUAAGUUCGGGUGUAACCGAACAUUUUAUACUCUCGCAAUUUAUUUAUUUAACUUUAUUUAUAUUAAUAAUACACAAUUUGACCCACAUAUUCGUCAUAUAUAGUGCAUAAACUCCAUUGAAAGUUGGAAACCAUAAUAUUAGGUUAGAAGCACCGAGGCCCUCGUGUUCGAUAUAUGGGGCCUUAAAAACCUAUGGUCCGAUUUCGGCGAUUUUUAGAAUGGGGCUGCCACACUAUUAACAUAGUAUUUGUGCAAAGUUCUGCACCGAUAUCUUCACUAGUGCUUACUUUAUAUAUUGUAAUGUAAACAAUUCGGAUUGUCUUCAAAGUUCUGGUAUAUAGGAAGUAGGCGUGGUUGUGAAGCGAUUUGAACAUAUUAUUGGGAUGUAAGGAAACUAUUACAAACCAAUUUUCAUUGAAAUCGGUCGAGUACUUCCUGAGAUAAGGUUUUUGACCCAUAAGUGGGCGACGCCACGCCCAUUUUCCAUUUUGUAAAAAAAUCUGAGUGUAGCUUCCAUCUACCAUUUCUUAUGUGAAAUUUAGUGUUUCUGACGUGUUUGGUUAGUGAGUUAACCCACUUUUAGCAAUUUUCAACCUAACCUUUGUAUGGGAGGGGAAACGACUGAAGAAAUUUUGGUUUAUAUAGCUCUAUUGGUUUGCGAGAUAUAUACAAAAAACCUAUUUGGGGCGGGGCCACGCCCACUUCCCCAAAAAAAAUUACAUCCAAAUAUGUCCCUUCAUAGUGCGAUCCUUCAUACCAAAUCUUAUUUCCAUAGCUUUAUUUAUGGCUUAGUUAUGGCACUUUAUGUGUUUUCGGUUUUCGCCAUUUUGUGGGCGUGGCAGUGGUCCGAUUUUGCUCAUUUCCGAAAGCAACCUUCCUAUGGUGCCAAGAAAUAAGUGUGCCAAGUUUCAUCAAUAUAUCUUAAUUUUUACUCAAGUUACAGCUUGCACAGACGGUCGGACGGACGGACAGAUAGACAUUCGGAUUUGAACUCCAUUCUUCACCCUGAUCACUUUGGUAUAUAUAACCCUCUAACUCGUUUAGUUUUGGGUGUUACAAACAACCGUUAUGUGAACAAAACUAUAAUACUCUCUUUAGCAACAUUUGUUGCGAGAGUAUAAAAAUGGAUUAAAUUUCAGUUUUUUCGACAUAUUGGCUAUAAGGACACAAAAACAUUGAUUUUGGGGUUUACAGUCAUCUAAGAGCUUAAAGACGGACUUAUUCUGAGAAGCUUUGCCAAAGAAAGUUUACCAAAAAAGUCAACAUUAAAAAAGUUAGAGACCGAAGAAAAAUGUGCCUUUCUCUUACAAUGGGCCACUUUGAUGAAAAACUUCAAAAAAAAAUUUUGUAUGAAACCAUGAUUGUAACUCAAAAAAGUGAUGGUGCAGUUCGAUUCGUAGGACCCGAAAUAGGGGGAAACCGUCGAAUUUGGUAUUGUCUUUUUUUUUUACCUAUCACAGUGUAAUGAACGCGAUCACCGACGUUGAAGUCGCAGCGACUGCAAAAUGAAAUUAGAUGAAAACAACAGAAUAUAAAAAGAAGUUGUUGACAUCUGGUCCAUUGGUUUUGUGUCUUCUGCAGUUUGUGGUCAGUGCUAAAGUGCGAUAUUGUUUUUGGAACUAGUAAAAUUAUUUGUUUCGUGGUGUUUUAGUUUGAAAUAUUAUUGAAAAUAUAAUUAAAAUGAGUGAAUUGUCAGCAAAGGCUAUUAAUUUCAUGAAUGUCAAGGACUUUAUUGAUUUUGACACGAAGCUGCUGUUGAACGACAAAAUAACAUCUCAGCUGAAAAAUAUCAUAUAUAGAGUUGGAGGAAAGGAUUUCCCUUCAUUCCUAGGAAUGGCAUUGAAAUCCAUUAUAUCGGAUGCUAUGGCCGUUAAUUUAACUUGGCGUGGAACAAAUGACAAACCCAGUAUCCAACGCUUUACAACAUUUGCACUAAUAAAAAAUGCCUGUCAUUCCAAAUAUUCGAACUCGACCGAUAUGGAUAUAAAUAAAGUGGGUCAACAGCACAUACUUCACGCCCGAGACAGAGUACAAAAAAAACAAACAAAC